RNAcentral lists this ribosomal RNA (449 nucleotides) under uncultured eukaryote. RNAcentral describes it as "bacterial SSU rRNA". It matches the Rfam family "Eukaryotic small subunit ribosomal RNA", at positions 1212 to 1671 of the family's 1831-position model. The record is from RNAcentral.
AACUCACCAGGUCAGGACACGGUAAGGAUUGACGGACUGAAGGCUCUUUCUCGAUUCCGUGGAAAGUGGUGCAGUGGCCGUUUUUGGUUGGUGGAUCGAUCCGUCUGGUUAAUUCCGUUAACGAACGAGACCUCGGCACUCCGAAUAGCGCGGCGGACGUCGCGGCCUCCGGGCCGUCUUCCGCACGAGCUUCUUAGAGGGACCGUCCCCCGCCGGGGAAGGAGGUGCGAGGCAACGACAGGUCUGUGAUGCCCUUAGAUGUUCUGGGCCGCACGCGCAUUACACUGACGCGUCCAACGGGUGACUCCCGACCCGAAGGGGCCGGGGAAUCCGCAAGGCGCGUCGUGAUGGGGAUUGAACGUUGCAAUUGUUGUUCACGAACGAGGAAUUCCUAGUAGGCGCGGGUCAUCAACCCGCGCCGAUUACGUCCCUGCCCUUUGUACACACCG